GACGAACGCUGGCGGCGUGCUUAACACAUGCAAGUCGAGCGGUAAGGCCCCUUCGGGGGUACACGAGCGGCGAACGGGUGAGUAACACGUGGGUGACCUGCCCUCAGCUCUGGGAUAAGCCUGGGAAACUGGGUCUAAUACCGGAUAUGACUCCAUGACGCAUGUCGUGGGGUGGAAAGCCUUGUGCGGCUGGGGAUGGGGCCCGCGGCCUAUCAGCUUGUUGGUGGGGUGANGGCCUACCAAGGCGACGACGGGUAGCCGGCCUGAGAGGGCGACCGGCCACACUGGGACUGAGACACGGCCCAGACUCCUACGGGAGGCAGCAGUGGGGAAUAUUGCACAAUGGGCGAAAGCCUGAUGCAGCGACGCCGCGUGAGGGAUGACGGCCUCGG
RNAcentral lists this ribosomal RNA (392 nucleotides) under uncultured bacterium. RNAcentral's name for it is "bacterial SSU rRNA". It matches the Rfam family "Bacterial small subunit ribosomal RNA", at positions 28 to 420 of the family's 1533-position model. The record is from RNAcentral.